UACGUAGGGUCCGAGCGUUGUCCGGAAUUACUGGGCGUAAAGAGCUCGUAGGUGGUUUGUCGCGUUGUUCGUGAAAACUCACAGCUUAACUGUGGGCGUGCGGGCGAUACGGGCAGACUGGAGUACUGCAGGGGAGACUGGAAUUCCUGGUGUAGCGGUGAAAUGCGCAGAUAUCAGGAGGAACACCGGUGGCGAAGGCGGGUCUCUGGGCAGUAACUGACGCUGAGGAGCGAAAGCGUGGGGAGCGAACAGG
Molecule: ribosomal RNA, 253 nt
Filed under: uncultured bacterium
Lineage: Bacteria
Description: partial 16S ribosomal RNA
Rfam family: Bacterial small subunit ribosomal RNA
Source: RNAcentral